GAUAGCCAAAAAUUACAGCUGGAUUUAAAGUAGGAUUACUAAUAAAACGUACAUCGCCACCACCUGGAGCCCAUGUAUCAUAUAUACCACCACUAAAUAAAGCUUUAAUAACAAGUAAAAAUGCGCCUAUACCUAGAAGUAUUAAAUGAAUACCUAAUAUAGUUGUCAUUUUAUUUUUAUCUCUCCA
RNAcentral lists this antisense RNA (187 nucleotides) under Compsopogon caeruleus. Its description in RNAcentral is "Antisense RNA which regulates isiA expression". It matches the Rfam family "Antisense RNA which regulates isiA expression". The record is from Rfam by way of RNAcentral. Lineage: Eukaryota; Rhodophyta; Compsopogonophyceae; Compsopogonales; Compsopogonaceae.